RNAcentral lists this unclassified non-coding RNA (600 nucleotides) under Hevea brasiliensis (rubber tree). The record is from RNAcentral. Lineage: Eukaryota; Viridiplantae; Streptophyta; Magnoliopsida; Malpighiales; Euphorbiaceae.
UUUGAGAGCAAAGAUGAUGAUGUUGCUGCUGAACGUGAUGCUGAUUUAUUGAGCUUUGAUAGCUCUUGCUGUUUUCCCCAAUUUUGAAGUUUACUUGUUAAAUUCACUUUCUCUGAAGUUAAAAAAAAAAAAAAAAAAAUAGAGCUUUUGAACUGAAUGGGUUGUGGCAAAGAUUAUGAGGGAAACAGAAGACGACUGGAAUUUUGAUGCAUAAUAUGAGUUGAGUCAGCCACCUCUAAAUGAUGAAAUAGUUUUCAUUAGUAGUUGGCACUUGGCAUCCAUCAGUGGAGGAGACAGAGAAAGGAACUUGAUAGGAUUUUUGGUUAUCUUUGAAGCCAAACCCACUCAAGGGAGAACAAAGAAGAUGUGAAAGCAAGGGAUAAAAAGCACAGGACACAGUAAAAAUUUUCAUCAGAAACUAAGAAAACCGAUGCAACAAAAAAAUUCAACAGGUAAGCGUUUCAAGAUUUCACAGUAAAUUGCCUUCCUUACAUUAAGCAAGAGGACAUUCUUUUUAAUCCAUUGGGUUAGAAAUUGAUCUUAUUUUAUCUAUACUAUGCCAAUUAAAGAGGAGCAUCUCCUAUGCUUAGGAUUCUUUGC